Long non-coding RNA from Drosophila persimilis, 516 nucleotides. RefSeq lists it as uncharacterized. The transcript is spliced from 3 exons. The record is from RefSeq and is a predicted model, not a curated record. Lineage: Eukaryota; Metazoa; Arthropoda; Insecta; Diptera; Drosophilidae.
ACGUAUUUGUGUUGCUUUUGCUGAUGAUCCAUAUCAAAGCCAUAGCCAUACCCAACAUGGAUCCAUUUCUAAACCAGCCAGAUACGGACUAUGAAGAUGUGGAAGAAUGGGGCGCAAUUUAAGGUCCGCAAAGAAGGUCCACCUAUAAACACUGACACUACCCUGAAUAAUUGAGCGGUGCCAACAACAUUCAAUCGUUAGGCCCCUCACAUGUAACAUUUUCAGGUGCGACCUAUGCCCUCCGCCCACCCAUCAAUACUCAUCAUGGCAAGGUCCUGGUUAUAAUAUUUACACGCGAUUCACACAGAGAAAGCCUUGAAAUAACAUCGAUCACAGCUAUACCCGAUAUGGACCUAUUUUUAGUGGACAGCCUCAUCUCAUCCUGACAAGAGUUCGUGGAGGUGCUUCCCCAUAAUCUGUUGAUGCCCCUCAAGACUGGUGUGCUCAUAGAGUGGAAUCAACUUUACUUCCAAAACUUUUGAAGAAACAAUUACAAAUUAAACAUAUAGAAUCAUA